This 71-nucleotide transfer RNA is filed under the name Procavia capensis (Cape rock hyrax). RNAcentral's name for it is "tRNA-Gly (TCC) (tRNA-Gly-TCC-3-1)". It matches the Rfam family "tRNA". Rfam says of the family: Transfer RNA (tRNA) molecules are approximately 80 nucleotides in length. Their secondary structure includes four short double-helical elements and three loops (D, anti-codon, and T loops). Lineage: Eukaryota; Metazoa; Chordata; Mammalia; Hyracoidea; Procaviidae. The record is from RNAcentral.
GCAGUGGUGGUUCAGUAGUAGAAUUCUUGCCUUCCAUGUAGGAGACCCAGGUUCAAUUCCUGGCCAGUGCA